RNAcentral lists this ribosomal RNA (433 nucleotides) under uncultured bacterium. Its description in RNAcentral is "partial 16S ribosomal RNA". It matches the Rfam family "Bacterial small subunit ribosomal RNA", at positions 29 to 507 of the family's 1533-position model. The record is from RNAcentral.
AACGAACGCUGGCGGCAUGCCUAACACAUGCAAGUCGAACGAGACCUUCGGGUCUAGUGUCGCACGGGUGCGUAACGCGUGGGAACCUGCCCUUAGGUUCGGAAUAACUCCCCGAAAGGGGUGCUAAUACCGGAUAAUGUCUUCGGACCAAAGAUUUAUCGCCUUUGGAUGGGCCCGCGUUGGAUUAGCUAGUUGGUAGGGUAAAAGCCUACCAAGGCGACGAUCCAUAGCUGGUCUGAGAGGAUGAUCAGCCACACUGGGACUGAGACACGGCCCAGACUCCUACGGGAGGCAGCAGUGGGGAAUAGUGGACAAUGGGCGAAAGCCUGAUCCAGCAAUGCCGCGUGAGUGAUGAAGGCCUUAGGGUUGUAAAGCUCUUUUACCCGGGAUGAUAAUGACAGUACCGGGAGAAUAAGCUCCGGCUAACUCCGUG